Long non-coding RNA from Taeniopygia guttata (zebra finch), 1617 nucleotides. Lineage: Eukaryota; Metazoa; Chordata; Aves; Passeriformes; Estrildidae. The record is from Ensembl.
AAAUCCCCUAAAAAUCCCAAUAUUCCCCCCAAAACCCCCUUAAAAAUCCCCCCAAUAUUCACCAAUUUUUCCCCCAAACCCCACAAAUUUUCCGCAAAAUCCCCUAAAAGUCCCCUAAAAACCCCAAUUUUCCCCCCAAAAUUCCCCAAAUUUUCCCCCAAAAUUCCCCAAUUUUUCCCCCAAAUCCCCCAAUUUUUCCCCCAAAAUUCCCCAAUUUUUCCCCCAAAUCCCCCAUUUUUCCCCCCCAAAUUCCCCGAUUUUUCCCCCAAAAUUCCCCCAUUUUUCCCCCAAAUUCCCCAAAUUUUCCCCCAAAUUCCCCAAUUUUUCCCCCAAUUUUUCCCCCAAUUUCCCCCCAAAUUCCGCAAUUUUUCCCCCAAAUUCCCCAAUUUUUUUUCCCCAAAUUUCCCCCCAAAAACCCCCAAUUUUUCCCCAAAAUUCCCCAAAUUUUCCCCCAAAAUUCCCCGAUUUUUCCCGCAAAUUCCCCAAUUUUUUCCCCCAAAUUUCCCCCCAAAAUCCCCCAAUUUUCCCCCAAAUUCCCCAAUUUUUCCCCCAAAAUCCCCCAAUUUCCCCCCCGAAUUCCCCAAUUUUUCCCCCAAAUUCCCCAAAUUUUCCCCCAAAAUCCCCCAAUAUUUCACCCAAAUUCCCCAAAUUUUCCCCCAAAAUUCCCUGAUUUUUCCCCCAAAUUCCUCAAUUUUUUCCCCCAAAAUCCCCCAAUUUUCCCCCAAUUUUUCCCCCAAUUUUCUCCCCCAAAUUCCCCAAUUUCCCACCAAAUCCCCAAUUUUUCCCCAAAAUUCCCCAAAUUUUCCCCCAAAAUUCCCCGAUUUUUUCCCCAAAUCCCCAAUUUUUCCCCCAAAUCCCCAAUUUUCCCCCAAAUUCCCCAAAUUUUCCCCCAAAAUUCCCCGAUUUUUCCCCCAAAUUCCCCAAUUUUUUCCCCCAAAUUUCCCCCCAAAAUCCCCCAAUUUUCCCCCAAAAUUCCCCAAAUUUUCCCACAAAAUUCCCCGAUUUUUCCCCCAAAUUCCCCAAUUUUCCCCCCAAAAUUCCCCAAAUUUUCCCCCAAAUUUCCCCCUAAAAUCCCUCAAUUUUCCCCCAAAAUCCCCCAAUUUUUCCCCCAAUUUUUCCCCCAAAAUUCCCCGAUUUUUCCCCCAAAAUUCCCCGAUUUUUUCCCCAAAUUUCCCCCCAAAAUCCCCCAAUUUUCCCCCCAAAUCCCCCAAUUUUUCACCCAAAAUUCCCCGAUUUUUUCCCCAUUUUUUUUCCCAAUUUCCCCCCAAAUCCGCACCUUCAGCAGCUGCUGCAUCACCCGCGCCCCGUCGCGGCUCCCGAAGUGCCGCCCGAGGAUCGGCGCCAGUUCGGGCCCGAAGGGGCUCGGGGGGGGCGGGAGGGGGGGAGGGGCGGCCCCUUCCCCACCCCCACCCUCCCCUGCCCCUCCCCCACCCCCUCCCGCCCCUCCCCCUCCCCCCCCCGGGGGCGGUUUCAGGACGAGGUUCAGCCGCGCUGAGGGUCCGAUGGAAUAAUCGCACAGGCGGCGCUCGUCUGGGGGAAAUUCAGAUUAUUCACCUCGAAAAUGGCCCAAAAAUGGCCCAAAAAUGGCCCAAAAAUGGCCAAAAAUGGCCAAAAUAA